GAUGAAGAACGUAGCGAAACGCGAUACGUAAUGUGAAUUGCAGAAUUCAGUGAAUCAUCGAAUCUUUGAACGCACCUUGCGCUCCUUGGUAUUCCGAGGAGCAUGCCUGUUUGAGUGUCAUGAAAUUCUCAACCUUUUCAGCUUUCUUUGUUGAUCAGGCUUGGAUGUGGGAGUAUGCGGGCUUCUCAGAAGUCGGCUCUCCUGAAAUGCAUUAGCGGGACCUUUGUUGCCUGGCUUUGGUGUGAUAAUUAUCUACGCCAUUGUAGUCAAGCAGCUUAAAAUGAGGUUUCAGCUUCUAACCGUCUCCCCUGAGACAACUUUUUGACAAUUUGACCUCAAAUCAGGUAGGACUACCCGCUGAACUUAAGCAUAUCAAUAAGCGGAGGA
This 387-nucleotide unclassified non-coding RNA is filed under the name soil metagenome. RNAcentral describes it as "partial contains 5.8S ribosomal RNA, internal transcribed spacer 2, and large subunit ribosomal RNA". The stretch from base 1 to 120 matches the Rfam family "5.8S ribosomal RNA", at positions 35 to 154 of the family's 154-position model. The record is from RNAcentral.